CAUUAAUAAAUCGGUGUUAACCACCGUUAAACAUCUUGUGAACUUGUAUUUGUUCUUGGUGGUCGGCCGUUUCUGGCUCUAAGCCAUGUCUUCGCGACAUGGGCCACCAGUUGGCUAGUCGGUUUUCCGGCUAGCCUUGAACCAACCUAUGCUUUUCUAUUAUGGUCUUAACGUUCCUGUCUAUGGCAGGAUUGUAUCCAAAUUGAAAACAACUUUUGGCAACGGAUCUCUUGGCUCUCGCAACGAUGAAGAACGCAGCGAAAUGCGAUAAGUAAUGUGAAUUGCAGAACUUUGUGAAUCAUCAAAUCUUUGAACGCACCUUGCGCCCCUUGGGGCAUGCCUGUUUGAGUAUCUUUUAAAUCCUCACCCCCUAGUUAAUUUUAACUGGGAUGGGUGGAUCUAUGAGGCUCCAAUAUUUUUCAUUCGAAAAACUUGGUGCCUUUAAACCUAGCGACUGGCUGAAACUUUAGAAUGCCACCUCAAAGCGAGAAUCUCGAUCUUGGGGAUAAAUGGAAUCUAAUCAGCGACUAACGGUCGACAAACGCAGGGUUUAACAGCUCUAAACAUUUUGGUCUCAAAUCAGGCAAGACUACCCGCUGAACUUAA
RNAcentral lists this ribosomal RNA (606 nucleotides) under uncultured Chytridiomycota. RNAcentral's name for it is "eukaryotic LSU rRNA". The stretch from base 211 to 354 matches the Rfam family "5.8S ribosomal RNA". The record is from RNAcentral. Lineage: Eukaryota; Fungi; Chytridiomycota.